GCUGCUUUGGUUUCCUGCCUGCUUCUCCCCCUCAUUUUCUCUUCCUCCUGCUUCCCUUGCCUGUCUUCCAGGGGUUCUCAGCCUUUCGUGGUGCAGUGCUGCCUGCUGGGGGCAGGGGAUGGCUGAUGAACCUCCAAUCGCCUCAGCCUCUGCUCCCGGUCCUGACACCUUUGUCACCAUCACUGUGCCAGAAUUGACUGAGUGUGCUUCUGCUUCCUGUGCCAACCAAAGGCAAAGCUCUGUCUGUUGCCAGAGCAGAGCAAGGCAGCUCCAGCCAAGCAGCAGAGAGUGGGCACCUCUCAUGUCCUGCUGGAGAGAGCAAGGACAACAGCUUUGACUUUGAGGAGGCUCUCCCUGGGCAGCAGUCUCCAAAGGGAUGUGGUCCUGCUGCUCAGUGGGAACCAGGGCACAACCUGGCUGGAAAAGUCAUUAAGGUCAUGGAGCCCAACCUCAACCCAGCUCCUCCCCACACCCAGCUCUGGGCUGUGGCCCUCAGCUCCUCAUCCCAAUGAUGGGGACUCCACCACUGCCCUGGGCAGCCUGGGCCAGUUCCCCACCACACUGCUGGUGAAGGACUCUUCCUUCAUAGCUAAUCUAAACCUCUCCCUUUGGCACCCUCCACAGGUCACAUUGGAGCACCCCAGACAUGCAGCUUGGCUUCUUCUGUAACCUAGUCAUGAAUCCAUGGAACAG
This is a long non-coding RNA of Pogoniulus pusillus (Red-fronted tinkerbird), 693 nucleotides long. RefSeq lists it as uncharacterized. The record is from RefSeq and is a predicted model, not a curated record. The transcript has 2 exons. Lineage: Eukaryota; Metazoa; Chordata; Aves; Piciformes; Lybiidae.